This 77-nucleotide transfer RNA is filed under the name Pseudomonadota bacterium. Its description in RNAcentral is "tRNA-Arg". It matches the Rfam family "tRNA". Rfam says of the family: Transfer RNA (tRNA) molecules are approximately 80 nucleotides in length. Their secondary structure includes four short double-helical elements and three loops (D, anti-codon, and T loops). Further hydrogen bonds mediate the characteristic L-shaped molecular structure. tRNAs have two regions of fundamental functional importance: the anti-codon, which is responsible for specific mRNA codon recognition, and the 3' end, to which the tRNAs corresponding amino acid is attached (by aminoacyl-tRNA synthetases). tRNAs cope with the degeneracy of the genetic code in two manners: having more than one tRNA (with a specific anti-codon) for a particular amino acid; and 'wobble' base-pairing, i.e. permitting non-standard base-pairing at the 3rd anti-codon position. The record is from RNAcentral. RNAcentral also lists the same sequence under 2 other names. Lineage: Bacteria; Pseudomonadati; Pseudomonadota.
GGCCCCGUAGCUCAGCUGGAUAGAGCGGCAGAUUCCUAAUCUGUAGGUCACAGGUUCGAAUCCUGUCGGGGUCACCA